ACAUCCAUAACAUGUCGAAAUACUAGUUCCCAUAUGAUCAGUAAAGUUAUGCAAUGUUGAGACUGUUCAGUACCUAGAUGGGUGACCACUUGGGAAUACCAGGUAUUGUAAG
This is a non-coding RNA of Acanthosepion pharaonis, 112 nucleotides long. The record is from the annotation of a GenBank genome assembly. Lineage: Eukaryota; Metazoa; Mollusca; Cephalopoda; Sepiida; Sepiidae.